UACGUACGCAACCUUCCUUCAAGUGAGGAAUAGCCCAGGGAAACUUGGAUUAAUACCUCGUAACAUUGUGAAGUGGCAUCACUUUAUAAUUAUAGCUCAGGCGCUUGAAGAUGGGCGUGCGACUGAUUAGGUAGUUGGCGGAGUAACAGCCCACCAAGCCUGCGAUCAGUAACUGGUGUGAGAGCACGACCAGUCACACGGGCACUGAGACACGGGCCCG
RNAcentral lists this ribosomal RNA (220 nucleotides) under uncultured bacterium. RNAcentral describes it as "partial 16S ribosomal RNA". It matches the Rfam family "Bacterial small subunit ribosomal RNA", at positions 114 to 334 of the family's 1533-position model. The record is from RNAcentral.